This is a transfer RNA of Nicotiana attenuata, 73 nucleotides long. It matches the Rfam family "tRNA". From Rfam's summary of the family: Transfer RNA (tRNA) molecules are approximately 80 nucleotides in length. Their secondary structure includes four short double-helical elements and three loops (D, anti-codon, and T loops). Further hydrogen bonds mediate the characteristic L-shaped molecular structure. tRNAs have two regions of fundamental functional importance: the anti-codon, which is responsible for specific mRNA codon recognition, and the 3' end, to which the tRNAs corresponding amino acid is attached (by aminoacyl-tRNA synthetases). tRNAs cope with the degeneracy of the genetic code in two manners: having more than one tRNA (with a specific anti-codon) for a particular amino acid; and 'wobble' base-pairing, i.e. permitting non-standard base-pairing at the 3rd anti-codon position. NCBI's taxonomy places the organism in Eukaryota, Viridiplantae, Streptophyta, Magnoliopsida, Solanales, Solanaceae. The record is from Rfam.
GCUCUCGUAGCUCAGUUGAUUAGAGCGCCCACUUAGUAAGCGGAUGUCUUGAGUUUGACUCUCUAUGAGAGCA